AGCAAUAACUUUUUUUCCCUUCUGCUUCUAGAUGAAUUUAUCUGCAUGACCUUGUCAUGCAUCUGAUGCAAAGUCACCAUUAUGCAGACGGGUAUUAAAAGUGAAUUGCAAGAGAGAUUCAACAGUCAUUCAACUAAUUUCAACAGUCAAAAUUCUUCCUCUUGUCAUGGAAAAUGACUAAACCUGUUACUGAUGGCACAAAAACACAGGAGCAGUUUCAACAGGUAUUAAACCUCCCAUAAGAAUUCAGUCUGCUUCCUACAGGACACUUUGCCAGGAAGCCUUGCUAAUGUAAGUCCUAUGAAAUUUAGUAACUGAAAGAAUUUCCAUUUAGUUAUUUAAAGAAACAACUCAGAUAGUAUUUGCUUAAUUCUCAGCAUAUAGCAAAGUUAAAAAUUGUAACAAGGUCUUUUGAGUCCAAUUCCAGUUCCUUAACCACAAGGCUAUCAUUUCACUUUAGCCUCUCAACUUCAGAAUGUAGCUCUCGAAGAGAUCUUGCUAGAAAAAGCAAGCACAA
RNAcentral lists this long non-coding RNA (517 nucleotides) under Chrysemys picta bellii (western painted turtle). RNAcentral's name for it is "lncRNA (ENSCPBG00000024698.1)". Lineage: Eukaryota; Metazoa; Chordata; Testudines; Emydidae. The record is from RNAcentral.